Molecule: unclassified non-coding RNA, 186 nt
Filed under: soil metagenome
Description: partial internal transcribed spacer 1
Source: RNAcentral
CCGAGUUGACAGACUCCCCACACCCUCGUGAACAGUACCCUUAACGUUGCUCGGCGGGCGGUAUCAACCCCCCACGGGUGGAACCCUCGGCCUCCCUCGGGGGACGGGGGACGGCCCGCCAGGCGGUACCCGCAAACUCUGUUAUACCUAUAACGGCCUCUCUGAGUAUAUACCAUGAAUAAGUCA